RNAcentral lists this non-coding RNA (23 nucleotides) under Arabidopsis thaliana (thale cress). The record is from RNAcentral. Lineage: Eukaryota; Viridiplantae; Streptophyta; Magnoliopsida; Brassicales; Brassicaceae.
GUGCGGGUCUUGGAAGUUCUACA